Molecule: ribosomal RNA, 497 nt
Filed under: uncultured bacterium
Lineage: Bacteria
Description: partial 16S ribosomal RNA
Rfam family: Bacterial small subunit ribosomal RNA
Source: RNAcentral
GAUGAACGCUGGCGGCGUGCCUAAUACAUGCAAGUCGAGCGAACAGACGAGGAGCUUGCUCCUCUGACGUUAGCGGCGGACGGGUGAGUAACACGUGGAUAACCUACCUAUAAGACUGGGAUAACUUCGGGAAACCGGAGCUAAUACCGGAUAAUAUAUUGAACCGCAUGGUUCAAUAGUGAAAGACGGUUUUGCUGUCACUUAUAGAUGGAUCCGCGCCGCAUUAGCUAGUUGGUAAGGUAACGGCUUACCAAGGCAACGAAGCGUAGCCGACCUGAGAGGGUGAUCGGCCACACUGGAACUGAGACACGGUCCAGACUCCUACGGGAGGCAGCAGUAGGGAAUCUUCCGCAAUGGGCGAAAGCCUGACGGAGCAACGCCGCGUGAGUGAUGAAGGUCUUGGGAUCGUAAAACUCUGUUAUUAGGGAAGAACAAAUGUGUAAGUAACUAUGCACGUCUUGACGGUACCUAAUCAGAAAGCCACGGCUAACUACGUG